CAUUUACUUGCUUAUCUACUCAUGCCACAGUUGACCUAGUGGUGUACUUCUCCACUCUCGGCGGCUUACCCACUGGGAACUAUUGUUUAAUGGUUCUCACGCCCUCUUUGUUGUUGUUUUAUAGAGCCUUCCACCACGGGAAAGGCUAGGGUUCUUGGCGAGGGGUCUGCGGCUAGCUAGAGCCUUUUUGGACGUGUACUAGACGACCUCCACCACUUUAUGUAGUUUAGAACAGAGAUGUAUAUUAAGUUUUUGUAAAUUGUACGUUAUUCUUAUUUCCUGUAUUAAGGUUUGGCACUACAACAUAUUGGUUAAUUGCUGGCAGAUACUUGCUGGCAGAUCCGGUGAGUGCCAGCACAUGCACAAAUUUCCUGGCAAUUUUGUAAAGUGCCCGUAUAUUUUUAUUGCGCGAUCUCAAAACCCAACUUCGCCAAGUUAAAAAUGAAAAAAUAAAAACCUUCGCGCGAGGGCGAGCGCUGCAAUCGCCGGAGAGCAAAGUUUUUUUUUCUUUUUGGCGCGAGAAACAAAAACAGCCCUCCUAACCUCUUUUUCAUCCCAUUCUUCACACUCUAAAAAAUCUUUCUCAAUCCCUUCCCUCAGAAUCUAAAAGCUCUGUUUCCUACUUUAUCAGCCCCUUUCUUCAUAAUCUAAAAGCCCUAAUUUCUUGCUUCCACCUCAACCAGGGCGUCAUCCACCUCGGCAGCGGAGGCUUGUUAUCCAUCACGGCAGCAACAAUCACUGCAUGGAGCUUGUCAAUCACCGCACGAAGUCGCCAGAUUUGCUAUCUCCUCGACCUCAAAUUUCUCGCUUCGUUCACCACAACGUGAGAGCGCGAUCCCUCUAACAAAUUUCAUAGCAGUGACCGUAUUCGUAAAAUUUGGGUAAGAAUUUUGCAUUUGGAUUGAUGCAUGGACAAGAAAUUUGUUUAGGGCUUUUUUAUUGUGGAAUUUGCUGUGAUUUUUGUUAACGGCAAACCGUAUAAAACGCUCCGUUUACAAUCUUUUUCCAAAACAUCAGAAUAAAACAAGGUUUUUUUUUUCCCUUGCUCAAAGUAUUUGUGAUCGGUUUUGCCGAAUUAUAUUCCAAAAAAUUCAGAUUGAGCAGCGGAAACAUGAAAUUUUUCAAAAAAAAUUUAUAUUUGGCGGCUGCGGAAAGGUGAAAUUUCUCGAACCGUUGUCGCUCGACCACCGUUCCGCAAAUCCGUGCACCACCUAGUGAGCAGUCGAGCAACCUUGCCUGUUCGAUUUUGAAGGAAUCAUGGAUACGAAGCGAAGCAAAGAAAAAAUGAGGAGAAGCGAGUAAGAAAGGAGAAGGGGCAAAAAACGCGGCGUAUGGUGGUUGGGAAACAGCGGGGUCCACGAGGCUACACUUAGCCUCCUGGACCACGCAGGAGGGAGAGGUCUGUGGACCUCUCACU
RNAcentral lists this long non-coding RNA (1417 nucleotides) under Ananas comosus (pineapple). Its description in RNAcentral is "long non-coding RNA (ACOM_LNC035767)". Lineage: Eukaryota; Viridiplantae; Streptophyta; Magnoliopsida; Poales; Bromeliaceae. The record is from RNAcentral.